RNAcentral lists this long non-coding RNA (323 nucleotides) under Malus domestica (apple). RNAcentral describes it as "long non-coding RNA (MDOM_LNC016706)". The record is from RNAcentral. Lineage: Eukaryota; Viridiplantae; Streptophyta; Magnoliopsida; Rosales; Rosaceae.
UCUGAUACGGUCCGAUGUACGUAGGACUUAGCUUACCUUUCUUCUGAAAUCGCACUACACCUCUCCACGGUGAUUGAAGGAAAAAAUAUGUCCUAGCUAAGAACAUGUAAGAACAUUUGAAUACAUAUGCAAACUAUUAACACUUUAAAGUAGGCAUGCAUUCAAAAACAAUUCACAAAACCCAUGACUUUCAAAGCCUAGUAUAUGGUGAACCAAUAAACUCUUUAACAACAUUAAAGAGAAGGAAAGAUUUAGAGUUCCUUUACCCUUGAAGCUCAUCCUUGUUUACACAAGGGAUUCACCCAAGUGGAGGGCCUUCAAGU